Molecule: ribosomal RNA, 384 nt
Filed under: uncultured bacterium
Lineage: Bacteria
Description: partial 16S ribosomal RNA
Rfam family: Bacterial small subunit ribosomal RNA
Source: RNAcentral
UGGGGAAUAUUGCACAAUGGGCGCAAGCCUGAUGCAGCCAUGCCGCGUGUGUGAAGAAGGCCUUCGGGUUGUAAAGCACUUUCAGCGAGGAGGAAGGUGGUGAACUUAAUACGUUCAUCAAUUGACGUUACUCGCAGAAGAAGCACCGGCUAACUCCGGUGCCAGCAGCCGCGGUAAUACGGAGGGUGCAGCGUAAUCGGAAUUACUGGGCGUAAAGCGCACGCAGGCGGUUUGUUAAGUCAGAUGUGAAAUCCCCGGGCUCAACCUGGGAACUGCAUUUGAAACUGGCAGCUAGAGUCUCGUAGAGGGGGGUAGAAUUCCAGGUGUAGCGGUGAAAUGCGUAGAGAUCUGGAGGAAUACCGGUGGCGAAGGCGGCCCCCUGGA